This is a long non-coding RNA of Pezoporus flaviventris, 842 nucleotides long. RefSeq lists it as uncharacterized. NCBI's taxonomy places the organism in Eukaryota, Metazoa, Chordata, Aves, Psittaciformes, Psittacidae. The record is from RefSeq and is a predicted model, not a curated record. The transcript is spliced from 3 exons.
CCCACAGCCCAUGGUGCCAUUUUGGAGCCAUUCUUAGCCUUGGCCCUGAGCCCAGCCUUGUCCCCACUGUCCUGGCUCACGGACACCCCUGGGACCAGAGGUGGGGGAAUGUCUCUGGAGCUUCAGGCUGCUGCUUAGAUUCAUUUCCUGGCUUGCUUGAGUGGGAAGUCUCUGCUGUCCCAGCUCCAGGGGAUGUGACUAACUGUGCCACACACCCCCUUCCCUAUCUCUCUGAGGGGUCACCUGCUGCCACAGGAAAUACAUUCACAUUGCUCUGAAUUCAUCACAUUGUUCAGAAACAUCUUUUUCGAGCGAAGCAAAAACAUUUUUAUAGAAGAUGGAGAUAGCUGCUCUCACUGAAACAGAUCUUCAGCUCUUGGAGGUCUUGAUGAAACCUGCAGUGCAUGGCACACUGUUACUCGAAUUAAAGGAGAUCUGUCUCUUUAACGAUGUUCUCAGAAGUUUUUGGCACAAAGACAAAACUGCCACAACAGGACUGCUGAUGCAGGAUCGCAGCCUUCAUGCCUCUGCAUUAGCAAAUUGUUCGUUAAUGAGCUGAUAGGGCUAGUAAAACCGUUUUGCACAAUGGCAUUUAGCCAACGAGGUAUGACAGCUGAAGGUAUUUUCCUGAAGCCAAGCUGCCAGGGGAGGUGUGCCUUCCAUCUUCAGCAAGAUUAGACUCAAGAGUAUAAUUAAUCUCAUCUGAGAUGCACAUUCACUCAUCCCCCCUUACAUUGUUUUGUUAGGCUUGUGUGCUUUCUAUGCCUUGCUUUUUCUUUUGCAUGUUUAACCUUUCAUCAUUCACAAGCCCACUCACUUCUGCGACCUGUGUUGCAUCCAGC